GACGAACGCUGGCGGCGUGCUUAACACAUGCAAGUCGAACGGAAAGGCCCUGCUUUUGUGGGGUGCUCGAGUGGCGAACGGGUGAGUAACACGUGAGUAACCUGCCCUUGACUUUGGGAUAACUUCAGGAAACUGGGGCUAAUACCGGAUAGGAGCUCCUGCUGCAUGGUGGGGGUUGGAAAGUUUCGGCGGUUGGGGAUGGACUCGCGGCUUAUCAGCUUGUUGGUGGGGUAGUGGCUUACCAAGGCUUUGACGGGUAGCCGGCCUGCGAGGGUGACCGGCCACAUUGGGACUGAGAUACGGCACAGACUCCUACGGGAGGCAGCAGUGGGGAAUAGUGCACAAUGGGCGGAAGCCUGAUGCAGCAACGCCGCGUGCGGGAUGACGGCCUGCGGGUUGUAAACCGCUUUCGCCUGUGACGAAGCGUGAGUGACGGUAAUGGGUAAAGAAGCACCGGCUAACUACGUG
This 468-nucleotide ribosomal RNA is filed under the name uncultured bacterium. RNAcentral's name for it is "partial 16S ribosomal RNA". It matches the Rfam family "Bacterial small subunit ribosomal RNA", at positions 28 to 507 of the family's 1533-position model. The record is from RNAcentral.